GGGGAAUAUUGGACAAUGGGCGAAAGCCUGAUCCAGCCAUGCCGCGUGAGUGAUGAAGGCUUUAGGGUUGUAAAGCUCUUUCGCCGAUGGAGAUAAUGACGGUAGUCGGAGAAGAAGCCCCGGCUAACUUCGUGCCAGCAGCCGCGGUAAUACGAAGGGGGCUAGCGUUGUUCGGAGUUACUGGGCGUAAAGCGAGCGUAGGUCGCUCGAUGUGUCAGUGGUGAAAUCCCGGGGCUCAACCUCGGAACUGCCAUUGAAACUGUCGAGCUGGAAUCUCAGAGGGGAUAGCGGAAUUCCAAUGUAGGGGUGAAAUCCGUAGAUAUUUGGAGGAACACCGGUGGCGAAGGCGGCUAUCUGGAUGAGUAUUGACACUGAGGCUCGAAAACGUGGGGAUCAAAC
RNAcentral lists this ribosomal RNA (399 nucleotides) under uncultured bacterium. Its description in RNAcentral is "bacterial SSU rRNA". It matches the Rfam family "Bacterial small subunit ribosomal RNA", at positions 356 to 773 of the family's 1533-position model. The record is from RNAcentral.